GCUGGUGUGGCAGAGCCUGGUAACUGCAAAAGACCUAAGCCCUUUAUACAGAGGUUCAAAUCCUCUCGCCAACU
Molecule: transfer RNA, 74 nt
Filed under: Rastrelliger kanagurta (Indian mackerel)
Lineage: Eukaryota; Metazoa; Chordata; Actinopteri; Scombriformes; Scombridae
Also listed under: 1 other name
Description: tRNA-Leu
Rfam family: tRNA
About the family: Transfer RNA (tRNA) molecules are approximately 80 nucleotides in length. Their secondary structure includes four short double-helical elements and three loops (D, anti-codon, and T loops).
Source: RNAcentral